GGUUCGAUGCCACGUCGGCGAUAGCUAAGGGCGGUGACCGUCGAUGCUCUGAUUGAACCAAGAACAACCCUUUUUCACAUCUUGAUAGGAAUCUGUUUAUCUUUUUUCAGUAGAUUUACAGAGCCGUUUUGUGUGAUUACAUUU
This is a non-coding RNA of Cucumis sativus (cucumber), 144 nucleotides long. The record is from Rfam. NCBI's taxonomy places the organism in Eukaryota, Viridiplantae, Streptophyta, Magnoliopsida, Cucurbitales, Cucurbitaceae.